Molecule: long non-coding RNA, 775 nt
Filed under: Lactuca sativa (garden lettuce)
Lineage: Eukaryota; Viridiplantae; Streptophyta; Magnoliopsida; Asterales; Asteraceae
Description: long non-coding RNA (LSAT_LNC007720)
Source: RNAcentral
ACAAAUACAAAACAAAAAAAACUGAUACAAUGACAGAAAUACACACCAAUUCGAAGUAGGAAACUACUUCAACAAGUAUUGCUUCCCAUCCAGAAAUAGAUCUGCAAUCUCAAAAAACUAAGCCAAGAAACUUGACAAAAUAAAAAAAUCUAUUAAUAAAUUUACCCAACCUUGGAUCCCAAGAAGAUGACGCGUGUUAUUUGAUGUCGGUAUACUCCAAUUACUUCAUAUCGAAUGCUUUUUGUUACUCCCAAAGAGAUGAAGAUAUUAUGUGCUUAUUCGAAAUCUGGUGUUGAGAAAACAAACAAACACUGUUUGAGUAAUGUACAUAAAGAAAUAAUCUUAAGAGUACAAGAGAAAUCAAUACCUUUGAAAGAGUCUUCCAAAACCAUAGAUGUUGAAGAUGUAACCCACUUCGGCUCCAAACUCCCAAUUCCUCUAAGUUUUCCUUCAGAAGUUGAAGCCGACGGAUGAUGCAGGUGAAACACAGGAGGCGACGACUUCUAAUCAGAUGUGAGAAUCAACAACGAUCAACUGAAAAGAGUGUAUGUAGUGUUGUCGAUGUCGAUGGAGUUCUAGGCAUGGAUGAAAGAAAUGAGAAAUCGACGGGUCAACUAUAGAAAUCGGCGCUGCUAAGGGCUUUGAGUGAAUAAUGGGUUUGAAACACAUGACAAGUGAAAUUGAAAGAUAUAGGCGAUGGAAGAUUUGUGGCAAGCAUCUACGAAGUUGUGAAAGAUUCGUAGAAAGCAUCUAUUGAAGAAAGUUACUAUUCAUA